UGCCAGCCGCCGCGGUAAUACGGAGAGUGCAAGCGUUGUUCGGAAUUACUGGGCUUAAAGAGCAUGUAGGCGGGACGACAAGUGUCGGGUGAAAGCCCCGGGCUCAACUCGGGAAUUGCCCGGCAAACUGUCGUUCUUGAGGCAGGUAGAGGUGACCGGAACAACUGGUGGAGCGGUGAAAUGCGUAGAUAUCAGUUGGAACGCCGGCGGCGAAAGCGGGUCACUGGACCUGUCCUGACGCUGAGAUGCGAAAGCGUGGGUAGCGAACGGGAUUAGAUA
Molecule: ribosomal RNA, 279 nt
Filed under: uncultured bacterium
Lineage: Bacteria
Description: partial 16S ribosomal RNA
Rfam family: Bacterial small subunit ribosomal RNA
Source: RNAcentral